AAAAUGGUAAACCCUCACAAGAAUCCAAAGAAACAAAGCACACGUGAUACACAAUUUGGGCAACCUCUCCCCUUCACGCCCACUGUUCCAGAAUUUCUCCUCCCAAAUCAUACAAAGAUCUGAACCAUGAAGAAGAAGCCAAAAUCCCUCCUCUGCACCCAUUAACCAAAGCGCUCAAACCUGUCACUUUCUCAAAACCUCUUCUCCCAAUUUUUCCCCAAAUCGUGAUUACCAACACAGAGGUUCCAGGCUGGAAUACAAGAGUUGUGGUAUGUACAUUUGAAUUUUGAAUUUGAAUUUCCCCCCUUCAGUUUUAGGAGAUUUUGUUGAAUUCAAAGUUGGAUCCUUUAUUGCUGGAGAAAAGCAGACAAACAGAGUUUUAAGCAUCAAGUAUGAAAGAGUUCAAAUAAAUGAUGUUGGAGAGUCGAUCAAAUUGAAGGUCUGCUUUAAUUACAAGCUACAAAUAGUGGCUCAUGGAUUCCUUUUCAUUCACUGGAUUUGUAGUGUUUCAUUGGAAUAGUCUUGGCCAAAGUUUUACUGUUCUUAUUUUUGAAACCGUUUAUUAGUUUGAAGGUUGAAGUUGGAUUUUGAGCUUAUAGCUUGCUAACCGAAGACUAGAUCAUGAUACUAUCAAACAAUAAUGACUAUAGGCAAGAUAUAUAGAGUAGGAGCAGCUUGCAUAUUUGUUAUAGAUAGAUGCAUCUUUCAAUAUAAGAGACUUUUCUUGGUUAAUCGAUGUUAGGAAGAAUCUCAAUGCUAGCUAAUGGCAAUCUAUCAUAAUCCAUUUACUUGAUAUUUCAUUGUUAUUCAAGUGCAUUGAAACUUUUUUAGCCAUAUGAUCUACUUUUGAUCGUUUUAUAUAUGAUUUGUAGCAUAACUAAAAUUGUUAAUAGCUAUGUAAAUUCAAAAAACACGGGGUGCACCGAAAGGGUUAUGUCUAUGCGUAUAUCAACUUUGUAAAUAUUAUAGAAUGAUUGUGUUAUGUAUCUUUAUUAUAAUUAAGUUCCAAUUGUUAUAUUUAGAAAAAACAGGGGGAGCGUCCCAUAAGGGUUAUUUUA
This is a long non-coding RNA of Trifolium pratense (red clover), 1058 nucleotides long. RefSeq lists it as uncharacterized. The transcript is spliced from 5 exons. NCBI's taxonomy places the organism in Eukaryota, Viridiplantae, Streptophyta, Magnoliopsida, Fabales, Fabaceae. The record is from RefSeq and is a predicted model, not a curated record.